CCUUGAGUAAAGUGGCGUACGGGUGAGUAACACGUGACUAACCUACCUCCGAAUGGGGAAUAACACCGGGAAACCGGUGCUAAUACCGCAUAACAUCUACGGAUCAAAGCAGCAAUGCGUUUGGAGAGGGGGUCGCGGCUGAUUAGCUAGUUGGUGGGGUAAUGGCCCACCAAGGCGACGAUCAGUAUCCGGCCUGAGAGGGCGCACGGACACACUGGAACUGAAACACGGUCCAG
RNAcentral lists this ribosomal RNA (236 nucleotides) under uncultured bacterium. RNAcentral's name for it is "partial 16S ribosomal RNA". It matches the Rfam family "Bacterial small subunit ribosomal RNA", at positions 84 to 334 of the family's 1533-position model. The record is from RNAcentral.